GACGAGUUGUAGCUGGCCUUCCGAGGCAUGUGCACGCUCUGCUCAUCCACUCUACCCCUGUGCACUUACUGUAGGUUGGCGUGGGCUCCUUAACGGGAGCAUUCUGCCGGCCUAUGUAUACUACAAACACUUUAAAGUAUCAGAAUGUAAACGCGUCUAACGCAUCUAUAAUACAACUUUUAGCAACGGAUCUCUUGGCUCUCGCAUCGAUGAAGAACGCAGCGAAAUGCGAUAAGUAAUGUGAAUUGCAGAAUUCAGUGAAUCAUCGAAUCUUUGAACGCACCUUGCGCUCCUUGGUAUUCCGAGGAGCAUGCCUGUUUGAGUGUCAUGGAAUUCUCAACUUAUAAAUCCUUGUGAUCUAUAAGCUUGGACUUGGAGGCUUGCUGGCCCUUGCGGUCGGCUCCUCUUGAAUGCAUUAGCUCGAUUCCGUACGGAUCGGCUCUCAGUGUGAUAAUUGUCUACGCUGUGACCGUGAAGUGUUUUGGCGAGCUUCUAAUCGUCCAUUAGGACAACUUUUUAACAUCUGACCUCAAAUCAGGUAGGACUACCCGCUGAACUUAAGCAUAUCAAUAAGCGAGGGAAAAAA
RNAcentral lists this ribosomal RNA (586 nucleotides) under Trametes versicolor. RNAcentral's name for it is "eukaryotic LSU rRNA". The stretch from base 175 to 328 matches the Rfam family "5.8S ribosomal RNA". Lineage: Eukaryota; Fungi; Basidiomycota; Agaricomycetes; Polyporales; Polyporaceae. The record is from RNAcentral.